Long non-coding RNA from Syngnathoides biaculeatus (alligator pipefish), 335 nucleotides. RefSeq lists it as uncharacterized. Lineage: Eukaryota; Metazoa; Chordata; Actinopteri; Syngnathiformes; Syngnathidae. The record is from RefSeq and is a predicted model, not a curated record. The transcript is spliced from 3 exons.
AGCUGGAGGAGCCCGAGUGGCUGCUUCCGGAGGAGCUGGAGCCGCUGGACGAGCCCGAGCUGGAACCGGAGCUGCUGCUGGAAGAGGAGCUCGAUCGGGACCUGAUUGUAAAUGUGACCUGUCAGCGGGGGCGUGGCCUGAUGAGUCACGUGGGGAUCAGCCAAUGAGAGUCUACGCUCUACACGGCUGCCUUGAGCUCAGAUUCUUAAAGCAACCGCCGCAUAAGGACGACCACAUAGCUGCGCUUCCUGCAGAGCUGUAAGGCACCGCCGAGUCCAAACCUGCUGCUGCUGCUGCCGGUGGACGCGCUGCGGCGUUUCCUGGCUUUGUCCCGC